CGACCUGAACUCAGCGUGAACACCCGCUGAACUUAAGCAUAUCAUUUAGCGGAGGA
RNAcentral lists this ribosomal RNA (56 nucleotides) under Helicotylenchus dihystera. RNAcentral's name for it is "partial 28S ribosomal RNA". Lineage: Eukaryota; Metazoa; Nematoda; Chromadorea; Rhabditida; Hoplolaimidae. The record is from RNAcentral.